AGAAUCAACGCUGGCGGCGUGCCUAACACAUGCAAGUCGCACGAGAAAGUGGAGCAAUCCAUGAGUACAGUGGCGCACGGGUGAGUAACACGUGAAUCAUCUACCUCCGAGUGGGGAAUAACCUAGAGAAAUCUGGGCUAAUACCGCAUAACACUUACGAGUCAAAGCAGCAAUGCGCUUGGAGAAGAGUUCGCGGCCGAUUAGCUAGUUGGCGGGGUAAUGGCCCACCAAGGCGAUGAUCGGUA
This 245-nucleotide ribosomal RNA is filed under the name uncultured bacterium. RNAcentral describes it as "partial small subunit ribosomal RNA". It matches the Rfam family "Bacterial small subunit ribosomal RNA", at positions 26 to 285 of the family's 1533-position model. The record is from RNAcentral.